CCGUCACUAACUCAUCGGGUAAGAGUGCAUAACGCGUAUUGUUGUUUUGUGGUGCGGGGUUCGAGUCCCCGGUGACGGUCCA
This 82-nucleotide transfer RNA is filed under the name Escherichia coli. RNAcentral describes it as "tRNA-Val". Lineage: Bacteria; Pseudomonadati; Pseudomonadota; Gammaproteobacteria; Enterobacterales; Enterobacteriaceae. The record is from RNAcentral.